Balaenoptera musculus (blue whale) is the source of this 1036-nucleotide long non-coding RNA. RefSeq lists it as uncharacterized. The transcript is spliced from 3 exons. Lineage: Eukaryota; Metazoa; Chordata; Mammalia; Artiodactyla; Balaenopteridae. The record is from RefSeq and is a predicted model, not a curated record.
CGGCGCUCGCGGCGCGGGGCCGGGGGCGGCUGCUCCGCGCCGCCGACCGCUGCGCCCCCGCGGCGUUCUCCGGCCCCGGAGUCGAGGCUGCUGAAAUUCCACACGACCAGCGUCUGCAGCAGCAGCACGAUCCUAAUUUUAAGAGAAGAAAGUGAAGGAAUAAAGAGGAUCCAUCAGAGGAGGCAAGGAAGAGAUUGUUUCAUCCACUCAACGACAGUCUGUGGAUAUCAAGCUGUGUCAGACACUGGGCGAGGUGCAGGAAUCCAAAGGUUUCACUUCUGCAUCAGAGAGAAAUCAUCCACAUGGGUCACCUGUUCCUGAGUGUCAGUAGGAGAGUUAUGCAUGGCACGUCCAUCUUCCCAUCCCCAGGAAUUCCCAAUCCUCUCCAACAAGUGCAUGCAAACACCAGGGUUCCAGGGCGCUUGGAGGUCAGAAGAGCCAGGAUGCCCAAAGCCCCUCCCUCGGGGACCCCAGAAGCACAUGAAGCCAUGAACACACAUCACCUGUACCACACACCCCCCCCCCAACCCAACCCAAGAGAAGGAAACAGCCUCUGUUCAGACCACAGGCUUAGGCAGACGACAUGCCCCGCCAGACUCCCAGCUGUGCUUCUGAAACCUGCAGCUUUUCCAGAGAACCAUCCACCCACUGUAUCAGCAGAGGGAGCUCUAGGUAGCAAAUAACUUUCCUCUGACAGCAGACUGUACUUUCCUAUAGAAAAGAUUUGCAGGAAACAACAAGGAAAAGCGGGGGUCCUAAGUGGAGCUGGCGUCCAUCCUGUGCAGAAGAAAACCCCACCAAUUUGCAAGGGUAGCUUGAGGGAUGGGGGUCAGGGCUGGGUAGUGAUCUGGGAGAGGAAGAGACACCAGCUGAGGAAAGGAUGCGUGAAAAUCACCACACUGCUUAGCGGAUUAUCUGACCUUGUUCUGUACCAGCCCUCUGACCCACUUCUAGACAUCUCACAGCCUUUGUACUACCCUCUCAAUGAUGUGAUGUUUGAAAAGGGGACACACUCCAGAUCCAAGUCUUAGACUAG